UCUACGGGUGGCAGCAGUGAGGAAUAUUGGUCAAUGGCCGGAAGGCUGAACCAGCCAAGCCGCGUGAAGGACGAAGGUGCCAAGCAUUGUAAACUUCUUUUGUCAAGGGACAAAAUCAGGCUCGAGAGCCUGACCGAGGGUACUUGAAGAAACAGCAUCGGCUAACUCCGUGCCAGCAGCCGCGGUAAUACGGAGGAUGCGAGCGUUAUCCGGAUGUAUGGGGUUUAAAGGUCGGGUAGGCGGACUGUUAAGUCAGCGGUAAAAGCCCGGGGCUCAACCCCGGCGAGCCGUUGAAACUGGCUGUCUUGAGAUGUCGAGGGGUAAGCGGAAUGCGCAGUGUAGCGGUGAAAUGCUUAGAUAUUGCGCGGAACUCCGAUUGCGAAGGCGGCAUACCGGCGGCGAUCUGACGCUGAGGCACGAAGGCGUGGGUAUCGAACAGGAUUAGAUACCCUUGUAGUC
Molecule: ribosomal RNA, 459 nt
Filed under: uncultured bacterium
Lineage: Bacteria
Description: partial 16S ribosomal RNA
Rfam family: Bacterial small subunit ribosomal RNA
Source: RNAcentral